CCAAGUUUUUAAGGGCGCACGGUGGAUGCCUUGGCACCAGGAACCGAUGAAGGACGUGGGAGGCCACGAUAGGCCCCGGGGAGCUGUCAACCGAGCUUUGAUCCGGGGGUGUCCGAAUGGGGAAACCCGGCAGUCGUCAUGGGCUGUCACCCGCUGCUGAACACAUAGGCAGUGUGGAGGGAACGCGGGGAAGUGAAACAUCUCAGUACCCGCAGGAAGAGAAAACAACCGUGAUUCCGGGAGUAGUGGCGAGCGAAACUGGAUGAGGCCAAACCAGUCACGUGUGAUACCCGGCAGGGGUUGCGUGGUUGGGGUUGUGGGAUCUCUCUUUUGCAGUCUGCCGGCUGUGAGGCGAGUCAGAAACCGUUGAUGUAGGCGAAGGACAUGCGAAAGGUCCGGCGUAGAGGGUAAGACCCCCGUAGCUGAAACAUUAGCGGCUCGUUUGAGAGACACCCAAGUAGCACGGGGCCCGAGAAAUCCCGUGUGAAUCUGGCGGGACCACCCGUUAAGCCUAAAUAUUCCCUGGUGACCGAUAGCGGAUAGUACCGUGAGGGAAUGGUGAAAAGUACCGCGGGAGCGGAGUGAAAUAGUACCUGAAACCGUGUGCCUACAAGCCGUGGGAGCGUCGCGCAGAGAACUUGUUCUUUGCGUCGUGACUGCGUGCCUUUUGAAGAAUGAGCCUGCGAGUUUGCGGUAUGUUGCGAGGUUAACCCGUGUGGGGAAGCCGUAGCGAAAGCGAGUCCGAAUAGGGCGUGGAGUAGCAUGCUCAAGACCCGAAGCGGAGUGAUCUAGCCAUGGGCAGGUUGAAGCGGAGGUAAGACUUCGUGGAGGACCGAACCCACCAGGGUUGAAAACCUGGGGGAUGACCUGUGGUUAGGGGUGAAAGGCCAAUCAAACUCCGUGAUAGCUGGUUCUCCCCGAAAUGCAUUUAGGUGCAGCGUCGUGUGUUUCUUGCCGGAGGUAGAGCACUGGAUAGGCGAUGGGCCCUACCGGGUUACUGACCUUAGCCAAACUCCGAAUGCCGGUAAGUGAGAGCGCGGCAGUGAGACUGUGGGGGAUAAGCUCCAUGGUCGAGAGGGAAACAGCCCAGAGCAUCGACUAAGGCCCCUAAGCGUGUGCUAAGUGGGAAAGGAUGUGGAGUCGCAGAGACAACCAGGAGGUUGGCUUAGAAGCAGCCACCCUUGAAAGAGUGCGUAAUAGCUCACUGGUCAAGUGAUUCCGCGCCGACAAUGUAGCGGGGCUCAAGUACACCGCCGAAGUCGUGUCAUUGCAGCAUGAGGGCUAACGCCUGUUGUGAUGGGUAGGGGAGCGUCGUGUGCCGGGUGAAGCAGCCGUGGAAACGAGUUGUGGACGGUUCACGAGUGAGAAUGCAGGCAUGAGUAGCGAUACAAGAGUGGGAAACUCUUGCGCCGAUUGACUAAGGGUUCCUGGGUCAAGCUGAUCUGCCCAGGGUAAGUCGGGACCUAAGGCGAGGCCGACAGGCGUAGUCGAUGGACAACCGGUUGAUAUUCCGGUACCCGCUUUGAAGCGCCCAAUACUGAAUCAGGCGAUGCUAAGUCCGUGAAGCCGCCCUGAUCUCUUCGGAGUUGAGGGGAGUGGUGGAGCCGACGGACCAGACUUGUAGUAGGUAAGCGAUGGGGUGACGCAGGAAGGUAGUCCAGCCCGGGCGGUGGUUGUCCCGGGGUAAGGGUGUAGGCCGUGUGGUAGGUAAAUCCGUCGCACGUUAAGGCUGAGACCUGAUGCCGAGCCGAUUGUGGUGAAGUGGAUGAUCCUAUGCUGUCGAGAAAAGCCUCUAGUGAGUUUCAAGGCGGCCCGUACCCUAAACCGACUCAGGUGGUCAGGUAGAGAAUACCGAGGCGUUCGGGUGAACUAUGGUUAAGGAACUCGGCAAAAUGCCCCCGUAACUUCGGGAGAAGGGGGGCCAUUUCUGGUGAGGGAACUUGCUUCCUGAGCUGGGGGUGGCCGCAGAGACCAGCGAGAAGCGACUGUUUACUAAAAACACAGGUCCGUGCGAAGCCGUAAGGCGAUGUAUACGGACUGACGCCUGCCCGGUGCUGGAACGUUAAGGGGACCGGUUAGCUUGGAUUCGUCCAGGCGAAGCUGAGAACUUAAGCGCCAGUAAACGGCGGUGGUAACUAUAACCAUCCUAAGGUAGCGAAAUUCCUUGUCGGGUAAGUUCCGACCUGCACGAAUGGCGUAACGACUUCUCGACUGUCUCAACCAUAGGCCCGGUGAAAUUGCAUUACGAGUAAAGAUGCUCGUUUCGCGCAGCAGGACGGAAAGACCCCGGGACCUUUACUAUAGCUUGAUAUUGGUGUUCGGUUCGGCUUGUGUAGGAUAGGUGGGAGACUGUGAAGCGCCAACGCCAGUUGGUGUGGAGUCGUUGUUGAAAUACCACUCUGGUCGUGCUGGAUGUCUAACCUGGGUCCGUGAUCCGGAUCAGGGACAGUGUCUGGUGGGUAGUUUAACUGGGGCGGUUGCCUCCUAAAGAGUAACGGAGGCGCCCAAAGGUUCCCUCAGCCUGGUUGGUAAUCAGGUGUUGAGUGUAAGUGCACAAGGGAGCUUGACUGUGAGACUGACGGGUCGAGCAGGUACGAAAGUAGGGACUAGUGAUCCGGCGGUGGCUUGUGGAAGCGCCGUCGCUCAACGGAUAAAAGGUACCCCGGGGAUAACAGGCUGAUCUUCCCCAAGAGUCCAUAUCGACGGGAUGGUUUGGCACCUCGAUGUCGGCUCGUCGCAUCCUGGGGCUGGAGUCGGUCCCAAGGGUUGGGCUGUUCGCCCAUUAAAGCGGUACGCGAGCUGGGUUUAGAACGUCGUGAGACAGUUCGGUCCCUAUCCGCUGUGCGCGUAGGAGUCUUGAGAAGGGCUGUCCCUAGUACGAGAGGACCGGGACGGACGAACCUCUGGUGUGCCAGUUGUUCUGCCAAGGGCAUGGCUGGUUGGCUACGUUCGGAAAGGAUAACCGCUGAAAGCAUCUAAGCGGGAAGCCUGCUUCGAGAUGAGGGCUCCCUCCUCCUUGAGAGGGUAAGGCUCCCAGUAGACGACUGGGUUGAUAGGCCAGAUAUGGAAGCACUGUAAGGUGUGGAGUUGACUGGUACUAAUAGGCCGAGGGCUUGUCCUC
Molecule: ribosomal RNA, 3121 nt
Filed under: Streptomyces noursei
Lineage: Bacteria; Bacillati; Actinomycetota; Actinomycetes; Kitasatosporales; Streptomycetaceae
Description: 23S ribosomal RNA
Rfam family: Bacterial large subunit ribosomal RNA
Source: RNAcentral